RNAcentral lists this ribosomal RNA (429 nucleotides) under uncultured bacterium. Its description in RNAcentral is "bacterial SSU rRNA". It matches the Rfam family "Bacterial small subunit ribosomal RNA", at positions 355 to 775 of the family's 1533-position model. The record is from RNAcentral.
UGGGGAAUUUUUCGCAAUGGGCGCAAGCCUGACGAAGCAACGCCGCGUGGAGGAUGAAGGCCUUCGGGUUGUAAACUCCUGUCGACCGGGACGAAAGUUAUCUGGGCUAAUAUCCUAGGUAAUCGACUGUACCGGUGGAGGAAGCCACGGCUAACUCUGUGCCAGCAGCCGCGGUAAUACAGAGGUGGCAAGCGUUGUUCGGAAUUACUGGGCGUAAAGGGCGCGUAGGCGGUCUUUUAAGUCUUGUGUGAAAUCCCUCGGCUUAACUGAGGAACUGCACGGGAUACUGGAAGACUUGAGUUCGGGAGAGGGAAGCGGAAUUCCGGGUGUAGCGGUGAAAUGCGUAGAUAUCCGGAGGAACACCGGUGGCGAAGGCGGCUUCCUGGACCGACACUGACGCUGAGGCGCGAAAGCUAGGGGAGCAAACGG